GGGGGCGCGCGGGUUCGACAGGGGAAGGCCUACAGAAUUGCAGGCUGAGGUCCCACUAACCUCAUAAAACAAGUGGAAAAAAAAUAACUGGCGAACCUGUUUACGCUUAACGGGUCACAUCUAACCUGAGGUCUCCUCGAAGCUUGGGAUUAGGUGUCAGAAAAAAUCGAGGUGCUCCAAUCCUGAUGUCGAUAGGGCUUGGUUAAGAAGCAUCGGCUGGUCUGGCUUGAUUCGGUCAGCAGAUGAAAGUCAGAUGAGAUAAAAGGAGCUGACUAAGCUUGUAGCAUAUUCUGGCAACCUUCUUUUGGACGGGGAGUUCAACUCUCCCCCGCCUCCACCA
Molecule: transfer-messenger RNA, 340 nt
Filed under: Dehalococcoidia
Lineage: Bacteria; Bacillati; Chloroflexota
Also listed under: 1 other name
Description: E29-bin73 sp014859205 Standard tmRNA
Rfam family: transfer-messenger RNA
About the family: Bacterial tmRNA, also known as 10Sa RNA or SsrA, is named for its dual tRNA and mRNA-like properties. Its role is to liberate the mRNA from a stalled ribosome. To accomplish this part of the tmRNA is used as a reading frame that ends in a translation stop signal.
Source: RNAcentral